RNAcentral lists this Y RNA (100 nucleotides) under Aotus nancymaae (Ma's night monkey). RNAcentral's name for it is "Y RNA (ENSANAG00000006049.1)". It matches the Rfam family "Y RNA". Rfam says of the family: Y RNAs are components of the Ro ribonucleoprotein particle (Ro RNP), in association with Ro60 and La proteins. The Y RNAs and Ro60 and La proteins are well conserved, but the function of the Ro RNP is not known. Lineage: Eukaryota; Metazoa; Chordata; Mammalia; Primates; Aotidae. The record is from Rfam by way of RNAcentral.
GGCUGGACCAAGGGCAAUGAUGUUUACAACUAAUUGAUCACAACCAGUUACAGGUUUCUUUGUUUUUUGCACUCCCAUUGUUUUACUUGACUAGCUUGAA